This 344-nucleotide unclassified non-coding RNA is filed under the name uncultured fungus. Its description in RNAcentral is "sequence contains ITS1". Lineage: Eukaryota; Fungi. The record is from RNAcentral.
UUAACUAUUAAAUAGUACUCAGACAUCACUAACUGCAGGGUUGGGGUCCUCUGGCAGGCACGGUAAGCCGGAGCCUACACAGUCAACUGUGGCCUGCCAAAGCAACGAAGGUAGAUUAAACAAGAAUGUGGGAUCGCGUGCAAGAAUCGAGUCAGGUUGGGCUCACCAGCUUCGGGGUUUCGGGAGGCAUCGCCCCAGCCUACUCCCCCUAAUCCUGAUGGCCCCCCCGGAUCGUUUACAGCGUCUCUGUGGGGUUUCUUUCACUCCAGCAUCUCAGCCGUCGCUACUUCCCACGGCCAGUGGCCCAUUUAUUAAUGAUCCUUCCGCAGGUUCACCUACGGAAA